Molecule: long non-coding RNA, 316 nt
Filed under: Ananas comosus (pineapple)
Lineage: Eukaryota; Viridiplantae; Streptophyta; Magnoliopsida; Poales; Bromeliaceae
Description: long non-coding RNA (ACOM_LNC026783)
Source: RNAcentral
GUCCGGCUACUAUACUUGUAACAUACCAGAUUUUAAUAUAAAAGUAAAAAUAAAUAAAAAUAGUGUGAGAUACUAUUUUUAUUGGAUUUAGAGAAGUAAAGUAUAAGUCGGAAGCUGUAAGGAAAUGAAUUCUCGAAAUCCGAGAGUUGGACUCCGCUCAGAAUCGACUAAUUGUCGAGUGGGUAUGCUUCGGAAAAGCCAAAGAAGUCAGAAAUCCAAAAAGUGCAUUGUAAUGGAUCCGCGAGAGCAAAUUGUGCAAAAAUCUGCACUUGGCAGAAAUUGCUCUCGGGAACCGGUCCCUGGCGGGAAAGAUCGG